Molecule: long non-coding RNA, 944 nt
Filed under: Hordeum vulgare
Lineage: Eukaryota; Viridiplantae; Streptophyta; Magnoliopsida; Poales; Poaceae
Description: long non-coding RNA (HVUL_LNC010168)
Source: RNAcentral
CAAGUACAAACUCGUAUACAGGGAAAAUUACUAAUAGUUGUUGAAACGAACGCAUACUCGAUUCAUUUAUCAAUGUAUUUGAGUGUCCAACAACUCAAAACACGAGGAAACUGGAAUCAAUGAUAAUAUUAUAGUUGAUGAGGAGCUCAUAAGAAGUUAUGUAGCUCCGUGAUAUUCUUGAGCUACAAGGGAUAAUACUCGGCGAUAGAACAACAUUAAAGUUUGGACCGAUGUAUUGGUCUAAAGAAGACAAGUGUUUUAAUUUGUCUACGUAUGGAAUUCAAAGAGGAUCAAUCAUGGUCGGAACCAUGGUUGCAAAGUACCAAAUCACAUAUACUAGAUCAAAUCAUAAAACGAAUGAUUAUGGAUACGAGAAGUUUCUACGAUAGGAUUUACGUCGUUUCCAUGGGCAUGAACACAAGGUUCAGGGUCGACUCCCACUUCAUCAAUGCAUCACCUGCCCUUUACUCGCCUUUCAUGAGGUUGUAGCCUGGAAAGAUUAUAUGGCAAAACACCAGAAGAGUAAGACUCGUGAAAACUCUUGGGAUCACACAGAUUUAGGAAGGCAUAGGUUCAACCCAUCAGGGCACCUUAGGAACAUAUACCACAAACUUCAAGAGUAAUCAACACAUGCUUGACAACAGAGCAUGGCUGACAAAAGCAUAGGAUAUAGUUUAUCAGAGGGGGAAGACACAAUUUACCAAUGGCAUCAUGUAUCAGGGGAAGCAUAUCACAAGAAUUUUUGAAUGUAAAGGAUGUCGUCGGAUAAUAACCGAAGAAUGGGUCUGGAAGUCCGCAAAAGACCUGAUGUGAGUAUCGGUACUCAAUCAGAGGGAUAUAGAAUGCAAGGCAUCAGAUUAUAGAACAUCUAAAAAAUAUCGAUACUUAACUACCAAAGGAAUUAUGAUUUCCAGGUUGGUGUAUCCGAUUCAGAUGCUCCGAUC